GACGAACGCUGGCGGCGCGCUUAACACAUGCAAGUCGAACGGAAAGGCCUGCUUUCCCUUUGGUAUUGCGGGUACUCGCGUGGCGAACGGGUGAGUAACACGUGAUUGAUCUGCCCCCAACUUGGGUAUAAGCCUGGGAAACUGGUUCUAAUUCCCGAUAGGACUGCAGGGUGGUGCCUGUGGUGGAAAACGAUUUUCUAGUGGGUGGGGAUGAGCUCGCGGCCUAUCAGCUUGUGGGUGGGGUAAUGGCCUACCAAGGUGGCGACGGGUAGCCGGACUGAGAGCGUGGACGGUGAAAUUGGGACUGGGAUACGGCCCCGACGCCAGCGGGCGGCAGGAGUGGGGGCUAAUGGGGAGCGAGCGGAAGGCUGAUGCGGCGAGGGCGUGUAGGAGAUGUCGGGCUUGGGGAUGUCAACUCGUGUGGAGGGAGAGGAAGAAACCUGGUUGGAAGGGUGGUGACGGUAGUGGCAGAAGAAGCACCGGCUAACUACGUG
RNAcentral lists this ribosomal RNA (494 nucleotides) under uncultured bacterium. RNAcentral's name for it is "partial 16S ribosomal RNA". It matches the Rfam family "Bacterial small subunit ribosomal RNA", at positions 28 to 507 of the family's 1533-position model. The record is from RNAcentral.